GACGAACGCUGGCGGCGUGCUUAACACAUGCAAGUCGAACGGAAAGGCCCUGCUUUUGUGGGGUGCUCGAUUGGCGAACGGGUGAGUAACACGUGAGUAACCUGCCCUUGACUUUGUGAUAACUUCACGAAACUGGGGCUAAUACCCGAUAGGAGCUCCUGCUGCAUGGUGGGGGUUGGAAAGUUUCGGCGGUUGGGGAUGGACUCGCGGGUUAUCAGCUUGUUGGUGGGGUAGUUGCUUACCAAGGCUUUGACGGGUAGCCGGCCUGAGAGGGUGACCGGCCACAUUGGGACUACGAUACGGCCCAGACUCCUACGGGACGCAGCAGUGGGGAGUAUUGCACAAUGGGCGGAAGCCUGAUGCAGCAACGCCGCGUGCGGGAUGACGGCCUUCGGGUUGUAAACCGCUUUCGCCUGUGACGAAGCGUGAGUGACGGUAAUGGGUAAAGAAGCACCGGCUAACUACGUG
This 468-nucleotide ribosomal RNA is filed under the name uncultured bacterium. RNAcentral's name for it is "partial 16S ribosomal RNA". It matches the Rfam family "Bacterial small subunit ribosomal RNA", at positions 28 to 507 of the family's 1533-position model. The record is from RNAcentral.